Molecule: long non-coding RNA, 2212 nt
Filed under: Aplysia californica (California sea hare)
Lineage: Eukaryota; Metazoa; Mollusca; Gastropoda; Aplysiida; Aplysiidae
Description: uncharacterized LOC118478618
Source: RNAcentral
CACCUCAGGGUCUUCCUGCUAAUUGUCUCCAUAAGGAGCUGGUUUGAGACACGCCUGACCACUCCUCGGCGCGAUCAGAUAGAAUAUGCUAUAGCGAUGUAACAAUGGGUUCUCCGUCUGAUAGUAUGUAGAGACUGCUGUCUUUUGUGGCAGUCUGUGCCGUCAGCAAUGCUGUUGUCAUCAGCAUCUUUGGUGUGGCAGUUAGGUUCUCAAGCAUUGAAGGUGAAAGAGGAGAGAGCUUGAUUCUCGCGUGACGAAGCUACUAAAUAUCUCUAACUUUCAGUGAGGAUGCAAUAUUUCAGUCGGCCUUGCUUGGUUGAUGUAAAUUAAUGUGCUGGGACUGUUAACGUUUACAAUCAGUCUGGAAGUUAUAUUGGGACAGUUAACGUUUACAAUCAGUCAGGAAGUUAUAACUUUUGUGAAUGGGACAGUUAAUGUUUACAAUAAUCGCUCAGGAAGUUGUAAUGGGACAGUUGACGUCUGCGGUCAGUCAGGAAGUUGUAAUGGGACAGUUGACGUUUGUGGUCAGUCAGGAAGUUGUAAUGGGACAGUUGACGUUAGCCGUCAGUCAGGAAGUCAUGGUGGGACAGUUAAAAACAUUUUUAUAUUCAGUCAGGAAGUCAUAGUAUGUGUGGAUAGGGCAGUUAACCUUUACAAUGUAUCAGGAACUUAUGACUUGCAGAUUUAGGAAACUUGUUUUUGAUACUUAUAUAUAUUAUAUAUGUAUUAACCCACAUCUUUCAAGCAGAUUUUUAAAAAUUAACCCGUGUCAUUAUCUUUACAUAUCCAGAUGUGUAAAUAAAAAUUUUAAUGAAUAUUUUAUUUAGUCGUAAUGAUAAAAUACUGUGCUUUCAGUGAUAGAAAAAAGACCUCCAUUAUUAUACAGAAGUCGAAUUUGUCGUAGACAGACGGCCACUCUUUGUUGAGGAGAAAAGUAGCCAUCUUCCUAGACAGGUGGACGUCUUUUUAUAAGUGUCUCUAUAAUGUGAAACAACCACAAGGAAGGAAUAGUGGCAAGUGGUUGUUUGUACUGUUGAUUAUCUUAUACAAAUGGCUGUUGUUGCUGCAGGUUUGACUGUAUUUUUACGUGUCUUUGAGAAGAAAUCUUUUGAGAAUCUAUUCUCAUUGGUGGUGUCUUCCCUCAAUUUCUGUCCUAUUUUGUAGGGAUACAAGUUGUAAGGUAAGCAUUUACAUGUUGACAAUUAUUACAUUUGGGGGGACACAGGUUGUAAGGGUUAUGGGUUGACAGUUUUUACAUCUGUUCAUACACAGGUUGUAUGUAAGGUUUAUAGGUUGGCAGUUAUAUUUGUAGGUACACAGGUUUUAAGGGUUAUGGGAUGACAGUUUUUACAUCUGUUCAUACACAGGUUGUAUGUAAGGUUUAUGGGUUGGCAGUUAUAUUUGUAGGUACACAGGUUGUAAGGGUUAUGGGUUGACAGUUUUUACAUCUGGUGAUACACAGGUUGUAUGUAAGGUUUAUGGGUUGGCAGUUAUAUUUGUAGGUACACAGGUUGUAAGGGUUGUGGGUUGACAGUUAUAUUUGUAGGUACACAGGUUGUAAGGGUUGUGGGUUGACAGUUAUAUUUGUAGGUACACAGGUUGUAAGGGUUGUGGGUUGACAGUUAUAUUUGUAGGUACACAGGUUGUAUGUAAGGGUUAUGGGUUGGCAGUUAUAUCUGUAGAUACACAGGUUGUACGGGUUAUGGGUUGACAGUUAUAUUUGUAGGUACACAGGUUGUAAGGGUUAUGGGUUGGCAGUUAUAUUUGCUUUGUAGGUACACAGGUUGUAAGGGUUAUGGGUUGACAGUUAUGUCUGUGGGUACACAGGUUGUAUGUAAGGGUUAUGGGUUGACAGUUAUUAUUAUUACGUUAUUAGGUUUACUGGCCGAAGGUUAUGAUAUUUUGUAAGGAUACAAGUUGUGAGGGUUUAAUAAUGUGUAAGGGUUGCCCUUUUUUAAAGUAAGUUUUUUUCUCUCCUCACCAAAUGCUUGUCUUGUGUUGUGAUUGGCUUUCAGUGGGAGAGAAUCCGCGCUUCACUUACCGCGAAGAUAUUAUUUUUUACAAAUUGUACGAAUGUAGUCUAUGCUCCACAACACAUAAAUUGUUAUAUUAUAGUCUGUGUGCUGUACACACAUAUAAAUUAUUAUAUUACAGUCUAUGCUUCAAAUAAAUGUGAGGCAGCGUGGUGGAAUCAGGCUCGUCAUAGUCAAAA